This is a long non-coding RNA of Rhipicephalus microplus (southern cattle tick), 342 nucleotides long. The record is from RefSeq and is a predicted model, not a curated record. NCBI's taxonomy places the organism in Eukaryota, Metazoa, Arthropoda, Arachnida, Ixodida, Ixodidae.
GAAAACCUGAUAUCCAGAAUUUCAUUUUAGGAAACGCAAUAAGGAGUGGCUUUGCUCUGCCCUAAUGAAUGUGAUACUCGUGUUAUUUGCUGCAUGCUUUGCUUCAAACGUUCUUGCUGGAUGCAAGCGGAAGAGGUGCCCUUUUGGUAGUGGCUACGGCUGCAUACCCUUCACUCAAUGCCCUGUGCGCUGUAUGACUUGCUAUAGCGGCUGCAAGUUACCGUCUGUAUGCUGCAACCUCCGAAAAAUGAAUGCCUGUUCCUUGGCUGGAGGAACCUGUAACCGUACCUGUCAAAAAGUAAUUCCUCACGCCUGGUGUCGUCGACCUUUGAAGUGCUGUGC